UGGGGAGUGGUGUAACUGGUAACACGUCGGCCUUUGAAGCCGAAGACUUCAGGUUCGAGACCUGACUCCCCAG
This 73-nucleotide transfer RNA is filed under the name Candidatus Sungiibacteriota bacterium. RNAcentral describes it as "Candidatus Sungbacteria bacterium tRNA-Gln". It matches the Rfam family "tRNA". Rfam says of the family: Transfer RNA (tRNA) molecules are approximately 80 nucleotides in length. Lineage: Bacteria; Candidatus Sungiibacteriota. The record is from RNAcentral.